Molecule: long non-coding RNA, 926 nt
Organism: Alligator sinensis (Chinese alligator)
Lineage: Eukaryota; Metazoa; Chordata; Crocodylia; Alligatoridae
Exons: 3
Source: RefSeq, a predicted model, not a curated record
UGCCUAUCUUCAAGAAAGGGAGGAAAGUGGAUCCGGCAAACUACAGGCCCAUCAGCCUGACCUCUAUCCCCGGGAAGGUCUUAGAAAAAAUCAUCAAGGAGGCCAUUCUUAUUGGACUGGCAGAUGGUAACACCCUGAGGGAUAGGCAGCAUGGGUCUGUUGUGGGUUACGUCCAGCGCACCAGGCCUGUCACAGUUUCUGCAGGAAAGCAAUCUGCCUCACUGGAGAUAAGGUGAAGCGGCACCUUGAGUGACCGGCAUCAAAGUGAGAAACUUCGUAACCCACAGGCCCAACCUUUCUAACUAUUUCAAACGGACCCUGCCAACAGGUAAGAAACUUAUUCGUAGUGCUAGGGAGUAAAACUAGUACCUUUUGCCCUACUUGUAACUCUCUCCUUUGAGCCCCUUUGUCAUAUGGACGUUUCCGGUCUUCCCGAGCCUGCUGCAAAUGCUCACAUGACACCUCACUCACUGCCUGUAAACCAUGUCUAAGAUCUCGCACGUACUCAGUAGUGUCCGUGCCUUCUGAUGUCCCCUCCUCCCAACUUUCCUGUACCAGGAAAGUUUCCUGAACACCAUUUUGAAUGGGGCAAAACCCAGCGAGGACUGGGGAGCUUCCCUAAUUGAAAAUACCAAUGGUGGCACCAAUAGCUCCCACUUGCAGGGUUCCUCUUCUACACAACGACGCAACAUAUUUUUGAGGUACCAUUAAAUCACUCUACCACCCCAUUCAUUUGGAGGUGAUAUACUGUUGUACGCAGGUGUCAGAUUUUAACCACUCGACACAGACUCUGUAAGACACUACAUGUAAAAUUUGAAGCCGGAUCAGUAAUUAUUUCUUUGAGAAUUUCUACCCACGUUAUCCAUUUAAGAAGUUCCUCUGCUACACGAGGACCUGUGACCAACCACAUGGGAACUGUUGGGGAA